AUGCAGAUCAACCUGCGCGCCCAGGGACUCUGGGAGGCCAUGCUUGGCGAAGGCAUGGUCACCGACCGCGAGGACAUGGCGGCGCUCGCCGCACUGAUUCGGGUUGUGCCCCCGGAGAUGCACGGCGUUCUCGCCGUCAAGAACUCCGCGCACGAGGCCUGGCAGGCAGUGCGCACGAUGCGGAUGGGCGUGACCCAUGUCCGGGAGGCCACGGCACAGCGCCUCCGCUCUGACUUUGAGCAGAUCAUGUUCAGGGAUGGAGAAACCCUGGACAGCUUCGCCAUGCGCAUCACCACCCUCGUCAACAACCUCCGAUCACUGGGUGACAACAUGGAGGAGGUGCGCGUGGUGCAGAAGUUCCUGCGUGUCGUGCCGGCCCGGUACACGCAGAUCGCCUGCGCCAUCGAGACCCUCCUCGACCUGAGGAACCUGUCGGUGGAGGAGGUCGUCGGCCGCCUCCGCUCCGCCGAGGAACGCUACGGCGUCGAUGCGAGAGGCCACGCCGCGCAGCUCCUGCUCACUGAACAGGAGUGGUACGCACGCAAGGGCCAGCAGGAGCAAGGGCAAGGCUCAGGCUCAUCUGGUGGCGGCGGUCAGCGUCAAGGCAAGGCGCACGGAGGCGGCGGCGGUCAACGCCGGGGGCGCGACAUGACGAAGGUGAAGUGUUACAAUUGUAACAAACUCGGGCAUUUCUCCAGGGAUUGCAAGGAGCCAUGA
RNAcentral lists this ribosomal RNA (717 nucleotides) under Triticum aestivum (bread wheat). RNAcentral's name for it is "partial small subunit ribosomal RNA". Lineage: Eukaryota; Viridiplantae; Streptophyta; Magnoliopsida; Poales; Poaceae. The record is from RNAcentral.